This 756-nucleotide ribosomal RNA is filed under the name uncultured bacterium. Its description in RNAcentral is "bacterial SSU rRNA". It matches the Rfam family "Bacterial small subunit ribosomal RNA", at positions 8 to 796 of the family's 1533-position model. The record is from RNAcentral.
AGAGUUUGAUCAUGGCUCAGAAUCAACGCUGGCGGCGUGCCUAACACAUGCAAGUCGAACGAGAAAGGGUAGCAAUACCUGAGUAAAGUGGCGCACGGGUGAGUAACACGUGACUAACCUACCCUGGAGUGGGGGAUAACUGGGGGAAAUCCUAGCUAAUACCGCAUAACACCUACGGGUCAAAGGAGCAAUUCGCUUCAGGAGGGGGUCGCGGUCGAUUAGUUAGUUGGCGGAGUAAUGGCCCACCAAGACUGUGAUCGAUAUCCGGCCUGAGAGGGCGCACGGACACACUGGAACUGAAACACGGUCCAGACUCCUACGGGAGGCAGCAGUGGGGAAUUUUGCGCAAUGGGGGAAACCCUGACGCAGCAACGCCGCGUGGAGGAUGAAGUCCUUCGGGACGUAAACUCCUUUCGAUCGGGACGAUUAUGACGGUACCGGAAGAAGAAGCCCCGGCUAACUUCGUGCCAGCAGCCGCGGUAAUACGAGGGGGGCGAGCGUUGUUCGGAAUUAUUGGGCGUAAAGGGUGCGUAGGCGGUUUGGUAAGUCUUGUGUGAAAUCUACAGGCUCAACUUGUAGUCUGCACGAGAAACUGCCGGGCUUGAGUAUGGGAGAGGUGAGUGGAAUUCCUGGUGUAGCGGUGAAAUGCGUAGAUAUCAGGAGGAACACCUGUGGCGAAAGCGGCUCACUGGACCAUAACUGACGCUGAUGCACGAAAGCUAGGGGAGCAAACAGGAUUAGAUACCCCCGUAGUCC